GACGAACGCUGGCGGCGUGCCUAACACAUGCAAGUCGAACGGAAAGGCCCUGCUUUUGUGGGGUGCUCGAGUGGCGAACGGGUGAGUAACACGUGAGUAACCUGCCCUUGACUUUGGGAUAACUUCAGGAAACUGGGGCUAAUACCGGGUAGGAGCUCCUGCUGCAUGGUGGGGGUUGGAAAGUUUCGGCGGUUGGGGAUGGACUCGCGGCUUAUCAGCUUGUUGGUGGGGUAGUGGCUUACCAAGGCUUUGACGGGUAGGCGGCCUGAGAGGGUGACCGGCCACAAUGGGACUGAGAUACGGCCCAGACUCCUACGGGAGGCAGCAGUGGGGAAUAUUGCACAAUGGGCGGAAGCCUGAUGCAGCAACGCCGCGUGCGGGAUGACGGCCUUCGGGUUGUAAACCGCUUUCGCCUGUGACGAAGCGUGAGUGACGGUAAUGGGUAAAGAAGCACCGGCUAACUACGUG
This 468-nucleotide ribosomal RNA is filed under the name uncultured bacterium. RNAcentral's name for it is "partial 16S ribosomal RNA". It matches the Rfam family "Bacterial small subunit ribosomal RNA", at positions 28 to 507 of the family's 1533-position model. The record is from RNAcentral.